Molecule: ribosomal RNA, 452 nt
Filed under: uncultured organism
Description: partial 16S ribosomal RNA
Rfam family: Bacterial small subunit ribosomal RNA
Source: RNAcentral
ACACUCCUACGGGAGGCAGCAGUGGGGAAUCUUGCGCAAUGGGCGAAAGCCUGACGCAGCCAUGCCGCGUGAAUGAUGAAGGUCUUAGGAUUGUAAAAUUCUUUCACCGGGGACGAUAAUGACGGUACCCGGAGAAGAAGCCCCGGCUAACUUCGUGCCAGCAGCCGCGGUAAUACGAAGGGGGCUAGCGUUGCUCGGAAUUACUGGGCGUAAAGGGAGCGUAGGCGGACAUUUAAGUCAGGGGUGAAAUCCCGGGGCUCAACCUCGGAAUUGCCUUUGAUACUGGGUGUCUUGAGUAUGAGAGAGGUGUGUGGAACUCCGAGUGUAGAGGUGAAAUUCGUAGAUAUUCGGAAGAACACCAGUGGCGAAGGCGACACACUGGCUCAUUACUGACGCUGAGGCUCGAAAGCGUGGGGAGCAAACAGGAUUAGAUACCCUAGUAGUCCCAUGAU